AAUAUUAUCCAGGAGUAAUACUGAUCUGCAAGAAGUGUUGGACAAGUUCCAGUGUUCAAAAGAGCCUAGGACUAGAGGAAUGAGGAAUUAACGGUCCCAGUGGUGUUUAUGGCCUGGCUGAGCGUGUCUGGGUGACGUGCGUGUGUGACUCCUCACCAAGGUGCUGUUUUACGAGUGGUGUUUCAUGCCCACAGGGGUUCUGUCAGCUCUUCCUCACAAUUGCCCUGUGAAAGUGAAGACAGUCGGCCUGGAGGAAGGACCGGGGGAGAAGAUGAAGAGAAGAGUCCUCGGUGAGGAGGCUGUCUGGAGUUCAGAGAAGCUCCUGGGAGGAAGCGGAAAGCAAAGAGGCGCUCGAAGCCAAAGCCCAAACUGCCCCCCCGUUCCUGACCGUUACAUCGAAGCACUAGAGGUACGCUGUACAGAUCUUUGUGCUUAUAGUGUCACCUUUAAUUGUGGAAACGUUUAGUAAGGUGGAUGGUGGUCCUUUACAAAUGCUUUAUAGGUGUGUUCACUCGUGCAUUUAAUUGCUUCUUGUGGACCCAUACCCAACAGCUACAAGUCACUGUUUUUACACUGUGCUCGUGUCUGUGUGCUCAUGAAAUACACAAGACCACUGUACCCAGAUUACUGUUAAGCUGUUAUGGGAGAGAAAUGCAGGUUUUUUAGAUCAGUUGUACCACAGGAGGGCUUUUCCUUUCUGCCGGUUGAGCUAAACAGCGCUGACAGAAAGGACAAAGGUGAGGGAGGUGAGGGGAGGUGAAAUGCUUCCCCCACCUCCCCAAAGAGGAGGGCAAUCCUGUGGGCUGCUGUCUUUCUGUGCUCCCCCAGGAGAUGGAGAAGCUCGCUGUGGAGUGGCGUUCACGAGAGUCCUGAUGGCUGCUGCCCCAGGGAAGGAGAAGAAAGCGGAGGCAGAUUGGGCAGAGCGUGAGGCUCAGAGUGCAGAGAAUAAUACACGCAGGACCCAGCUGAAAACCCCACCAGAGACUCACAAGAAAGGGCAUGAGCUGAAUCUGGGGGCCACAAGAGGAGGAAGACAGAAGACAGACGAGUCCCAGGAAGGCUGUGGAAGAGCUGCUUUUGAGAAGUAAAAUCAAUUCCAUCCCAGGUAACCUAGCUGGCAAAGCUCGGAGCUGUUUCCCUAAAGCCUUGUGAGAGACACAAACCCGCAGAUAUGUGGACUCCACUCAACCAGAGACGUAGUUUGAAGACUCAUUUCUAGGCUGCCUAUUUGUGAAGCAGCAGUGAGGGCAGUUAAUGAGGCCCAUGCUGAGCUGUCUGUCAGAGUGGGUCAUCUGGGUGACCCACCAAAUCCUGCUGUAGGAUUUGGCAGGCUUUGUUGUGCAGAUGGCAAAUGCCACACAUGCUGACAAUGUCACCGGGGGUUUUGGAAGAAGAUGGAGGGUCCAAAUGGGAACUGAAGUGUCAUUGUGACAGCAUGGAAAGCUGCAUGGUGGUGGCUUCUCAGGUUCUCACCUUACAGGGGAAGUGUUUGCCUGGUGUGGAAGUAAAAUAAUUAACACCUCACAGGCUUCUGCAGGCCUCUCUAGCUAAGAAAUGCAUGCCAGCAUGACCUAAUGGCUCUCUGGGCCAGCACAAUUUAAUUAACAGAAGUGUGGGAGAAUUUGUGUGGAGGAUUAUUUUUUUUUUUAAAGGGAUACUGUCUAGAACUUCCUCUAGCUGAUUGUCCAGAGCCCUCCUAUAUGUUGUACUCUGUGUUACUGCUCUUUCAUGUCAUUUUCUACAGUCUUGCUCAUGUGGUUUGGUGAAGAAUGAUUGUAGAACCUAAAGGAACACCAACUGGAGCAGCCUCAUUUUGGCAGUUUGUAGCAGCAGAGGAGAUCACAGUGGUGUUCUGUCUUCUCCUGCAGCUGGAGUAACAAGCUGCUUCUGUUCUGACCAGGUCAGCACUGCCUUCUGGUCUUUCCAUGACACUGGGGGACUUUUUAUCAUUUGGGCUUUGGGAAGCCAGGCUAGACCUUGUGGGCAGGAUGGCCAAAUCCAUCCCUCAUGAGCUUUGUGACUGCUGUGGUUUCAGAGUAUACUUCUGUUGUGCUGGCUCCAGUCUUCAAGGCUACAAAUGAAUCUAUGUAAUAAUGUGUAUUUUGGAUAAUGCAGUAGUGUGUAUUAAAGCACUCUAGCCCUCGUAGAUUCAGCCAGAUAUCAUCUCUGAGCUUAGAAAAUGCUAACACGCUUGAGACCACCACUGUAAAUUACUUUUCUUUCCAAACUGCUGAAGAAGAACAGAAACUCGCAGAAGAAAGACUCUACCCCCUUUCAAACUGUAACACAGAGGUGUCCUUCACAACACCUGUGAAAGUAAGAGUUCAUUUGUGGCUAGGGGUUGCUUAUUUGGACUGCCAAGCUGCUGAAGCAUAAGUGCUUUUUCUUGCUUACCUGUGAUGAGUGUGACUACAGAGGGGUACUCCCGCAUUUUGCUGGCUGUGCAAGAUCUGAAACUAUGACCAGAGUAGGAUGCUUAGGGAGUCUUUAUCAUUCUCGUUCCUGCUGAAAGCCUGUGUAUGCAUCCUAAGUUUGGCAUGAACACUGCGGGUGAGUAAAAAAACGAGUGUUGUCCUUGUUUGAAGUCUGAUGUAGGUGUGGGUCACUCACAGCCCUGUCCCCUUUGGUGAGGGCUCUCUGAAGCGCAGCAUCAGAAACUAUCCUGACAGAUUUACCUUUUGUUUUCGAGAGAUAAUAAGGUGGGGUUAAGCUGCUUGCUACAACAGAGAUGUGUUUCCUUAUCCUAAAUUGAGGAUAGAAUAAAUCUCUUACUGAAUUUUCCUGGUUUGGGCUGAAGUGUGUUGUAGUGUCUUCUCUGUGCCUUUCAAAGGGAAGGAAGAUCCCAUAGAUGGGAUAUGACUGGUUAUCACGAAGACAGUAUGAAGUCUAAUGCUUGUUUAAACUCUAUCUAUAUUGUAUGCAUCUAUAGAUUAGAUGCUUAUCUCCCACCAAUACUUUUUUUUUUUUUAAACCUCAACACUGUGUUUUUACAUGAGAGAACAGAGUAUAUAGUAUAUAGAAAUAGUUCAGCCUGAGGAGAAACAGAUAGAUUCACAUGUGAAUCUAUCUUGCCAGUGGGAGUUCAGGCCCACUAAAUGGAAAACCUUUUAAAACAAAGUCCACUAUCAUUAGACAUUGAGGCUGAACAUGUCUCUUUCAUCCCUCCAUAAAAGAAAAAAAAAUCUCUUUGGAUAUGCUCAGUGUGCAACAGUUGAAGGAAACAGCCGCUUCCAAGCUUCAUUGUACUUUUUAGGAAGAACACAUCUCUGACCCUUGCAGCCUCCUGAAACAGGUUCCUAACUGCACAGAACCUGCCGCAGAGGCAGGCAGCCCAGGCAGAGUCUGACCUAACAAAAUGCAGAUGAAAGAGGUAAAGAUAGGAAAUAGAAGGAGCUGAGGACAGAAUUUGACAAAGAACAGACCAGAAGUUUAUAUUAAGAGAUUAAAGGCUUUAGAGCUUAAACUCUUCUUUAAUUCUUAAAACUCCCAACUCUUCUUUAACUUCUUUCUCAAUUACUAUCAUUCUACUAGCUCUGUACCUUCCAGAAGAGGUAUUUCAUUGUCAAAAAUAACAAUUUUCCACAUUUUGACUCUAGAAAUAGAAAACUCCAGAAAGAAUGAACAAAUCAAACACAUCACUUUUCUGCAUUCAGAUGCAUAAAGCCCAAGUGAACAUAAAAGGGAAGAGUUUGUUCCCCUAUGGUGCAUAUUCAAGUUGUUACUUUGAUUUAUAUCCUAAAAGCAGCUGGGGCUGACUUAUGUAAAGUGGAAUUUCUUCUUCCCCAGAGUUUGCUCCAGAUCUACAUUUGUCAGUUUUCCAGUUCCUCCCCACGUUAACAGUAUCCACACCUUGAAUGUGAUUUCAGCUCCAUCCACGUUCUCAGGGCAAACCAGUUGGCACAUUUCUCUACAGUUUAAUAGAACAAUGGUCACAGUAUUCACAAGUUAAUACAGAAAUUAAAGCUGACCCUAAUUAUGUUAGGUUCUAGGCAAGGACCACCCUUCCUUCCUCUCAGAAGCAGAGCAGCUCAGUUGUAGGAACGUAGCACUUACAACCUACAAAACAACGUUGGCUGAAAAUCCUUAUUGUUUGUGUGUCCCAUUUCACUCUCAGCCCUGAACAUGGAAAAACAAAGCCGACCUAGUCUAGUGGUAUACUACUGUGAAGGACUUCCAAAGGGGAAAUAGUACCAGUCUCCAAUCCAUGUGUUCUAGACAUAGUUUAACUCAUCCAAACAAAGCCUGAGCACUCCCAAUGCCCUUUUGGAGUGCUCUCCCAAUCGCUUCUCCACCCCAACAACGUUUCAGACUCUGCCAGCUCCACAUUCAUGAGAUAACACAGGCCUGUUGCAGUUGCGUAAGUGUUAGUUCAUACUGUGCUAGCAAUUCAAAGUAGAGGCUAAAAACUCCAGCCUCAACCACCUUCCUCUCCCUCUUCAGCUAAGUUGUGUUCAACCCUGCAGGUAUUUCAGCCUCUUCCCUCCAGUACUCAGGCCCCUGGCUGUUUUUGUGCUCUUACACUUGGAUUCCAGAUCACACCCCCAGAGCCAGUCAGACAAGGGCACCCCUCAGAGAACAAGCAUGCCAGAGGCUUUGCUUGUGCAAGAAAGAGAGGGGCCAGAAUCCAGCUCAAUUCAAGACUAGUUUUGGACAGAUUUGUGCUACAAAGGUUCCGUUGCAGCUCCCUAGCAGUAAGCACAAGAACUAAAAAACAAAACAACAACAAAAACCAAAAAAAAAAACAACAACAAACAAACAGGGAAAAAAGGGGGAUGAGAUCACGUGUUAUAUACUAACACCUGUAAACUACUUGCCAGCUAGCUCUAGAUCUGAUUUUUUGCAGACUCUCAAGUACAA
Long non-coding RNA from Cygnus olor (mute swan), 4857 nucleotides. RefSeq lists it as uncharacterized. The transcript is spliced from 3 exons. NCBI's taxonomy places the organism in Eukaryota, Metazoa, Chordata, Aves, Anseriformes, Anatidae. The record is from RefSeq and is a predicted model, not a curated record.